UACGUAGGGUGCAAGCGUUGUCCGGAAUUAUUGGGCGUAAAGAGCUCGUAGGCGGUUUGUUGCGUCGGCUGUGAAAACCUGAGGCUCAACCUCAGGCCUGCAGUCGAUACGAGCAGACUAGAGUGUUGCAGGGGAGACUGGAAUUCCUGGUGUAGCGGUGAAAUGCGCAGAUAUCAGGAGGAACACCGGUGGCGAAGGCGGGGUCUCUGGGCAACAACUGACGCUGAGGAGCGAAAGCGUGGGGAGCGAACAGG
RNAcentral lists this ribosomal RNA (254 nucleotides) under uncultured bacterium. RNAcentral describes it as "partial 16S ribosomal RNA". It matches the Rfam family "Bacterial small subunit ribosomal RNA", at positions 524 to 776 of the family's 1533-position model. The record is from RNAcentral.